RNAcentral lists this ribosomal RNA (247 nucleotides) under uncultured bacterium. RNAcentral describes it as "partial small subunit ribosomal RNA". It matches the Rfam family "Bacterial small subunit ribosomal RNA", at positions 26 to 285 of the family's 1533-position model. The record is from RNAcentral.
AGAAUCAACGCUGGCGGCGUGCCUAACACAUGCAAGUCGAACGAGAAAGUGGUAGCAAUACCAUGAGUAAAGUGGCGCACGGGUGAGUAACACGUGACUAACCUACCCUGGAGCGGGGGAUAACUGAGGGAAACCUUAGCUAAUACCGCAUAACACCUACGGGUCAAAGGAGCAAUUCGCUUCAGGAGGGGGUCGCGGCAGAUUAGCUAGUUGGCGGGGUAAUGGCCCACCAAGGCAGUGAUCUGUA